GAUGAACGCUGGCGGCGUGCCUAAUACAUGCAAGUCGAGCGAACAGACGAGGAGCUUGCUCCUUUGACGUUAGCGGCGGACGGGUGAGUAACACGUGGGUAACCUACCUAUAAGACUGGGAUAACUUCGGGAAACCGGAGCUAAUACCGGAUAAUAUUUCGAACCGCAUGGUUCGAUAGUGAAAGAUGGCUUUGCUAUCACUUAUAGAUGGACCUGCGCCGUAUUAGCUAGUUGGUAAGGUAACGGCUUACCAAGGCAACGAUACGUAGCCGACCUGAGAGGGUGAUCGGCCACACUGGAACUGAGACACGGUCCAGACUCCUACGGGAGGCAGCAGUAGGGAAUCUUCCGCAAUGGGCGAAAGCCUGACGGAGCAACGCCGCGUGAGUGAUGAAGGUCUUCGGAUCGUAAAACUCUGUUAUUAGGGAAGAACAAACGUGUAAGUAACUGUGCACGUCUGGACGGUACCUAAUCAGAAAGCCACGGCUAACUACGU
Molecule: ribosomal RNA, 496 nt
Filed under: uncultured bacterium
Lineage: Bacteria
Description: partial 16S ribosomal RNA
Rfam family: Bacterial small subunit ribosomal RNA
Source: RNAcentral